UAGAAAACCAAAGGAGAAUUAAUUUGUAGAUCUACACUUGUAUUUAUGAAAAUAGCCUGGAAAUCAAAGCUACUCUGCCAGCAAAAAAUACCCUCCAGGUAUGAGUCACAGCUUACACCUUACCAGUUCAUCUCCUGUUAGUGCUUCCUGCUUGUUAUGACAUAAUGCUUGGGUGCCUAUCUCCAUGGGAACAGAUAAAUACAGAUGCUUUGAAGUUAAGGCUCAGUGUGAAAGCAGCAGCAGUAAGCCACUGAUUUCAGCAUACAGUGCUUGACUAAGGAUUUCCUGAUCCAGUCAGCUUCGAAAAAUAUUAGAUUGCUCUUACACUGGGGAAGACAGCAUCUCAGGUCUCCAUGUCAGAAACAGAAGGAAAAGCUGCUGCUUCAACAUCACAUCAGGCAAAAAGAACAAGGCAAGGGCAUAGAGAAGAAGGCUUAGAAACAGAACUGACACCAGAAACAAGUAUAGUCUACAUGAAUGAUUAAUAAAAGUAUAGCCUUUGUUUUAUAAAGGAAAAGAACAGACAACUAAUACAAUUAAAGAGAAGAAUCAGCUAUACAUGCUACAUCAACAACAAUCCUGUACAAUUGAUUUUGUUAAGAAGCAAUGACUGGCCCAGCAUCACCAUGGAUAAAAUGAAUUAGAAUCUGGGAACACCGAAAAUACCACAUUUCUUCCUCCUUACCCAUUUCAGAAUAAAAAUGCCUGUUUCUCUCCUUAAAACCCCAAA
Long non-coding RNA from Pantherophis guttatus, 730 nucleotides. RefSeq lists it as uncharacterized. NCBI's taxonomy places the organism in Eukaryota, Metazoa, Chordata, Lepidosauria, Squamata, Colubridae. The record is from RefSeq and is a predicted model, not a curated record.